RNAcentral lists this ribosomal RNA (468 nucleotides) under uncultured bacterium. RNAcentral's name for it is "partial 16S ribosomal RNA". It matches the Rfam family "Bacterial small subunit ribosomal RNA", at positions 28 to 507 of the family's 1533-position model. The record is from RNAcentral.
GACGAACGCUGGCGGCGUGCUUAACACAUGCAAGUCGAACGGAAAGGCCCUGCUGUUGUGGGGUGCUCGUGUGGCGAACGGGUGAGUAACACGUGAGUAACCUGCCCGUGACUCUGGGAUAACUUCAGGAAACUGGCGCUAAUACCGGAUAGGAGCUCCUGAUGCUUGGCGGGGGGUGGAGAGUUUCGGCGGUUGGUGAUGGACUGGCGGCUUAUAAGCUGGUGGGUGGGGUUGUGGCUUCCCAAGGCGGUGACGGGUAGCAGGCCUGGGAGGGUGACAGGGCCCAUUGGGAUAGGGGUGCCGGCAGUGCUCAUUCUGGCGGAAUGAACGAGGAAUUUUGCGCGCUGGGCGGCAGCCUGAUGCACGGACGUCGCGUGCUGAAUCACUGUUUUUCGGGUGUAAACCGCUUUCGCCUGUGAGGAAGCGUGAUUGACGGUAAUGGGUUAAGAAGCCCCGGCUAACUACGUG